CCUACGGGUGGCAGCAGUGAGGAAUAUUGGUCAAUGGCCGAAAGGCUGAACCAGCCACGCCGCGUGAAGGACGAAGGUUCUAAGCAUUGUAAACUUCUGUUGUCAAGGGGCAAAUUCAGACGCGAGUGCCUGACGGAGAGUACUGGACGAAAAAGCAUCGGCUACCUCCGUGCCAGCAGCCGCGGUAAUACGGAGGAUGCAGGCGUUCUCCGGAUUUAUGGGGUUAAAGGGGUGGGUGGCGGGUCUGAAAGGUGAGCGGGAAAGGCCCGGGGCUCACCCCCGGCGAGCCGUUGAAACUGGCUGUCUAGAGAUGUGGAGGGGUAUGCGGAAUGCGCAGUGUAGCGGUGAAAUGCUUAGAGAUCGCGCAGAACACCGAUUGCGAAGGCAGCAUACCGGCCGCGAUCUGACGCUGAGGCACGAAAGCGUGGGGAGCGAACAGGAUUAGAUACCCUGGUAGUC
Molecule: ribosomal RNA, 459 nt
Filed under: uncultured bacterium
Lineage: Bacteria
Description: partial 16S ribosomal RNA
Rfam family: Bacterial small subunit ribosomal RNA
Source: RNAcentral